RNAcentral lists this ribosomal RNA (435 nucleotides) under uncultured Myroides sp. Its description in RNAcentral is "bacterial SSU rRNA". It matches the Rfam family "Bacterial small subunit ribosomal RNA", at positions 358 to 790 of the family's 1533-position model. Lineage: Bacteria; Pseudomonadati; Bacteroidota; Flavobacteriia; Flavobacteriales; Flavobacteriaceae. The record is from RNAcentral.
GGAAUAUUGGUCAAUGGAGGCAACUCUGAACCAGCCAUGCCGCGUGCAGGAAGACGGUCCUAUGGAUUGUAAACUGCUUUUAUACAGGAAUAAACCUAUCCUCGUGAGGAUAGCUGAAGGUACUGUAGGAAUAAGGAUCGGCUAACUCCGUGCCAGCAGCCGCGGUAAUACGGAGGAUCCAAGCGUUAUCCGGAAUCAUUGGGUUUAAAGGGUUCGUAGGCGGUUUAAUAAGUCAGUGGUGAAAUCUCCUAGCUUAACUAGGAAAUGGCCAUUGAUACUGUUAGACUUGAAUUAUUGGGAAGUAACUAGAAUAUGUAGUGUAGCGGUGAAAUGCUUAGAUAUUACAUGGAAUACCAAUUGCGAAGGCAGGUUACUAUCAAUACAUUGACGCUGAUGAACGAAAGCGUGGGUAGCGAACAGGAUUAGAUACCCUAG